GGCCAGUUAGCUCAGCUGGUUAAGCGUGGGGCUGAUAACACCAAGGUCGUGGGUUCAAUUCCUGUUCGGUCCC
RNAcentral lists this transfer RNA (73 nucleotides) under Apaloderma vittatum (bar-tailed trogon). It matches the Rfam family "tRNA". From Rfam's summary of the family: Transfer RNA (tRNA) molecules are approximately 80 nucleotides in length. Their secondary structure includes four short double-helical elements and three loops (D, anti-codon, and T loops). The record is from Rfam by way of RNAcentral. Lineage: Eukaryota; Metazoa; Chordata; Aves; Trogoniformes; Trogonidae.